AGAUCAGGUCCCCAGCUUGUUUCUUGCAUCUUGGCUUGUCCUGCAAAAUGUCUCUCUUCAAGUCUACCACAAUCAAGUCUCUACCAUAAUAGAUGAAAGAGUGGCACAGAGAGAGGUUUAAACUGACAGGGAUUAUUUCAGGAGAAGUCCAUGAAGAAAGUUCAGCAUGGGAAUGAGUCCUUAAGAGCAAGUAUCCCUUGCCCCAGCUAUCUUGUUUGCAACCAGAGUGAGGGAAAAGAGAGGAGAGGAGAAGAAAAAGGAAAGGAAAAGUGCCAAUACCAGGUCCUUUUGUCAGCUCCUCAGGCAUCCCUGCCCUGGAACAGUGCUUUAAGACUAUGAUCCACUCACAAUUGGAUAUUUCUCCAUAAAUUCUGCCUCACACCUUCUGCCAUUGUUGUGGGAGAGCCAAAUCCAGUCUUCACCAGAGUAAGUGGCACUCUGAGCCUCAACUCCACUCAAGCUAGACGCGGAAGCCUCAUCAGGUCAUCGCUGUGACCCUAAGUUAUAAAAGGCUAUGAUCAGAGUGAAAAUUUUGCUGCAAGGAGUGAUAGAUUUUUCUACUGUAUUGGCAUCUUCUGAUAGCUCCACUGCUAAGCUGGAAAGAGGUCAGGGAUAUUGUAUGCAAAGGAGACAAAUGGAAUGUUGUAUGGAGUGAAUUGAGAAGAGAAUUGUUGACUGGAAAAAUAACAAAAGUCUCCAAACUAUUCCUUCUUCUCUUGUUAUGGGGUUUGGAUGUGUACCCCUGGGGUUCAGGAAGGAUACCUUUUGCAAGAAUGUAAGACUCCAAAACUUAGCUUAAAAACAAGAGAAAUUUAUCAAUUUAGGAAGUAAUGUUGAGAAUGGCCAGGAGGAUAACAAGAUGGGAC
RNAcentral lists this long non-coding RNA (866 nucleotides) under Monodelphis domestica (gray short-tailed opossum). RNAcentral describes it as "lncRNA (ENSMODG00000033514.2)". Lineage: Eukaryota; Metazoa; Chordata; Mammalia; Didelphimorphia; Didelphidae. The record is from RNAcentral.